Molecule: long non-coding RNA, 778 nt
Filed under: Vigna radiata
Lineage: Eukaryota; Viridiplantae; Streptophyta; Magnoliopsida; Fabales; Fabaceae
Description: long non-coding RNA (VRAD_LNC009434)
Source: RNAcentral
AUGAAUAUAAAUGUGUCAUCCUACCAUUAUUUGGAGAAGAGUGAUAAUAUUUGUAAACUUUAGAUUCAGGAGAAAAGAUAGGACAACUAAGAGUUGUUUUAUGUGUCAGAAGUGAUUUGGUGUACUUGUUUUGAAAUCGUUAUUAUCACUGGUGGAAUCCUUUAAGUUUAUCUUGAAGGAGUACUGAACCUAAUCCAAAGUUUAGGAUUAACCAGAAUAAAACACGUUUCCUUCUUAAACAUAUGGAAGAUCAAGCACCAGAUGGACUAUUGUUUGUAUGAAAAGUGUUGGACUCUAUUCAACCCAUGUUCUAGAGCUAAAGUGUUACUUCAGUACAAUCAUUCUAUAUUGGUUUAAUAGGUUCGGAGGUCUCUAUAUUUGGAGGUUUGUUUCAAUUGGGUCCUCCAAUUUUUGAAGUGAUCAAUUAGGUCCCUAAUUUUGUCAAUUUGAAUCAAUAAAAGCCUUUAUGUUAAAUGCAGUUAACGCUGUGAAGUUUUUGAACAUGUGACACGCUGACGCUUCUAGGUGGCAUCAUUUCAACUGCAUAGAUAGAUUAUAAAAGGGUGAAAUCCCUUUUAAUUUAGGGAUUUCAAUUUCAAACACAUGUUCAAAAACUUCACGGCGUUAACUGUAUUCAACGAAAAGACUUUUAUUGAUUUAAAUUGACAAAAUUAGGGACCUAAUUGAUCACUUUCAAAAUUGGAGGACCCAAUUGAAACAAACCCCCAAAUAUAGGGACCUCCGAACCUAUUAAACCUUCUAUAUUCACUAUCCAGAG